AGAGUUUGAUCAUGGCUCAGGACGAACGCUGGCGGCGUGCCUAAUACAUGCAAGUCGAGCGGACCUAGCGUUUCUUCGGAAACGCGUGGUUAGCGGCGGACGGGUGAGUAACACGUAGGUAACCUGCCUGUAAGACCGGGAUAACAUUCGGAAACGAAUGCUAAUACCGGAUACGCGAUUUGGCCGCAUGGCCGAAUCGGGAAAGACGGAGCAAUCUGUCGCUUAUGGAUGGACCUGCGGCGCAUUAGCUAGUUGGUGAGGUAACGGCUCACCAAGGCGACGAUGCGUAGCCGACCUGAGAGGGUGAUCGGCCACACUGGGACUGAGACACGGCCCAGACUCCUACGGGAGGCAGCAGUAGGGAAUCUUCCGCAAUGGGCGAAAGCCUGACGGAGCAACGCCGCGUGAGUGAUGAAGGUUUUCGGAUCGUAAAGCUCUGUUGCCAGGGAAGAACGCUUGGGAGAGUAACUGCUCUCAAGGUGACGGUACCUGAGAAGAAAGCCCCGGCUAACUACGUGCCAGCAGCCGCGGUAAUACGUAGGGGGCAAGCGUUGUCCGGAAUUAUUGGGCGUAAAGCGCGCGCAGGCGGUACAUUAAGUCUGGUGUUUAAGGCUGAGGCUCAACCUCAGUUCGCACUGGAAACUGGUGAACUUGAGUGCAGAAGAGGAAAGUGGAAUUCCACGUGUAGCGGUGAAAUGCGUAGAGAUGUGGAGGAACACCAGUGGCGAAGGCGACUUUCUGGGCUGUAACUGACGCUGAGGCGCGAAAGCGUGGGGAGCAAACAGGAUUAGAUACCCUAGUAGUCC
RNAcentral lists this ribosomal RNA (806 nucleotides) under uncultured bacterium. Its description in RNAcentral is "bacterial SSU rRNA". It matches the Rfam family "Bacterial small subunit ribosomal RNA", at positions 8 to 796 of the family's 1533-position model. The record is from RNAcentral.